UACGGAGGGUGCAAGCGUUAUCCGGAUUCACUAGGUUUAAAGGGUGCGUAGGCGGAACAAUAAGUCAGUGGUGAAAUCUUGCGGCUCAACCGUAAAAUAGCCAUUGAUACUGUUGAUCUUGAGUUCGGUUGAGGUAGGCGGAAUGAGUAAUGUAGCGGUGAAAUGCUUAGAUAUUACUCAGAACACCGAUUGCGAAGGCAGCUUACUAAACCUGGACUGACGCUGAGUCACGAAAGCGUGGGGAGCGAACAGG
Molecule: ribosomal RNA, 253 nt
Filed under: uncultured bacterium
Lineage: Bacteria
Description: partial 16S ribosomal RNA
Rfam family: Bacterial small subunit ribosomal RNA
Source: RNAcentral